GCGAGGCCGAAAGGCGUAGUCGAUGGGAAACAGGUUAAUAUUCCUGUACUUGGUGUUACUGCGAAGGGGGGACGGAGAAGGCUAUGUUGGCCGGGCGACGGUUGUCCCGGUUUAAGCGUGUAGGCUGGUUUUCCAGGCAAAUCCGGAAAAUCAAGGCUGAGGCGUGAUGACGAGGCACUACGGUGCUGAAGCAACAAAUGCCCUGCUUCCAGGAAAAGCCUCUAAGCAUCAGGUAACAUCAAAUCGUACCCCAAA
This 255-nucleotide ribosomal RNA is filed under the name Escherichia coli. Its description in RNAcentral is "partial 23S ribosomal RNA". It matches the Rfam family "Bacterial large subunit ribosomal RNA", at positions 1396 to 1653 of the family's 2925-position model. Lineage: Bacteria; Pseudomonadati; Pseudomonadota; Gammaproteobacteria; Enterobacterales; Enterobacteriaceae. The record is from RNAcentral.